This is a long non-coding RNA of Penaeus monodon (black tiger shrimp), 577 nucleotides long. RefSeq lists it as uncharacterized. NCBI's taxonomy places the organism in Eukaryota, Metazoa, Arthropoda, Malacostraca, Decapoda, Penaeidae. The transcript has 3 exons. The record is from RefSeq and is a predicted model, not a curated record.
CAUAUCGGACUUAUCCUUACAUGCUUGAAAGCCACAGAUUGGGAAGUGGCUGCGGAGAAUGGUUUCCUUGGGAAGUUAUUGCGCGUGCCCAGUGCCCCGCUCUAUCUACUUCCUCGCCACGACCACAAUCUUCAACGUCGAGGGAUAGGCCAAUGGCUGACUCCACUUCACUCCACCUUCGUCUCUCCUUCUACGGACAUCCACCAUCCACUCUUCCACCUCCACUGUCCAUCCACGACAGCAUCAUCAACACAGCGCAUGAUGCUCCUCCCAAACCCCAAGCCUUCAGAUGAGUUCUGGUUAAAGAUAAGGUCUCAAGUCCCACUCCAAGGCCCACCUGGCAGAACUUUUCCUCGCUAAGCAGUUUACUACCGAUGGAAGAGGUCACAGGCCGGAACAUCACCUUGGUCGGGAAUUUUACAUGUGCUCUCUGGGAGUCGGAGUCGUCCCUCUCUUGCAAAUAUUUCCAACAAAUGUCCAUCCGUCCGUCAGUAUUUCUGUCGUAGACUGGAAUAUUCAAAUAAAUCUUUCCUGAAGUCUAACUCCAACAUAACCUUUUUCUGAUCUCGCUUUUGAA